RNAcentral lists this ribosomal RNA (1386 nucleotides) under Microbacterium laevaniformans. RNAcentral describes it as "bacterial SSU rRNA". It matches the Rfam family "Bacterial small subunit ribosomal RNA". Lineage: Bacteria; Bacillati; Actinomycetota; Actinomycetes; Micrococcales; Microbacteriaceae. The record is from RNAcentral.
UGCAAGUCGAACGGUGAAGCCCAGCUUGCUGGGUGGAUCAGUGGCGAACGGGUGAGUAACACGUGAGCAAUCUGCCCCUGACUCUGGGAUAAGCGCUGGAAACGGCGUCUAAUACUGGAUAUGAACCGUGGAGGCAUCUUCAACGGUUGGAAAGAUUUUUUGGUCAGGGAUGAGCUCGCGGCCUAUCAGCUUGUUGGUGAGGUAAUGGCUCACCAAGGCGUCGACGGGUAGCCGGCCUGAGAGGGUGACCGGCCACACUGGGACUGAGACACGGCCCAGACUCCUACGGGAGGCAGCAGUGGGGAAUAUUGCACAAUGGGCGCAAGCCUGAUGCAGCAACGCCGCGUGAGGGAUGACGGCCUUCGGGUUGUAAACCUCUUUUAGCAGGGAAGAAGCGAAAGUGACGGUACCUGCAGAAAAAGCGCCGGCUAACUACGUGCCAGCAGCCGCGGUAAUACGUAGGGCGCAAGCGUUAUCCGGAAUUAUUGGGCGUAAAGAGCUCGUAGGCGGUUUGUCGCGUCUGCUGUGAAAUCCCGAGGCUCAACCUCGGGUCUGCAGUGGGUACGGGCAGACUAGAGUGCGGUAGGGGAGAUUGGAAUUCCUGGUGUAGCGGUGGAAUGCGCAGAUAUCAGGAGGAACACCGAUGGCGAAGGCAGAUCUCUGGGCCGUAACUGACGCUGAGGAGCGAAAGGGUGGGGAGCAAACAGGCUUAGAUACCCUGGUAGUCCACCCCGUAAACGUUGGGAACUAGUUGUGGGGUCCAUUCCACGGAUUCCGUGACGCAGCUAACGCAUUAAGUUCCCCGCCUGGGGAGUACGGCCGCAAGGCUAAAACUCAAAGGAAUUGACGGGGACCCGCACAAGCGGCGGAGCAUGCGGAUUAAUUCGAUGCAACGCGAAGAACCUUACCAAGGCUUGACAUAUACGAGAACGCUGCAGAAAUGUAGAACUCUUUGGACACUCGUAAACAGGUGGUGCAUGGUUGUCGUCAGCUCGUGUCGUGAGAUGUUGGGUUAAGUCCCGCAACGAGCGCAACCCUCGUUCUAUGUUGCCAGCACGUAAUGGUGGGAACUCAUGGGAUACUGCCGGGGUCAACUCGGAGGAAGGUGGGGAUGACGUCAAAUCAUCAUGCCCCUUAUGUCUUGGGCUUCACGCAUGCUACAAUGGCCGGUACAAAGGGCUGCAAUACCGUAAGGUGGAGCGAAUCCCAAAAAGCCGGUCCCAGUUCGGAUUGAGGUCUGCAACUCGACCUCAUGAAGUCGGAGUCGCUAGUAAUCGCAGAUCAGCAACGCUGCGGUGAAUACGUUCCCGGGUCUUGUACACACCGCCCGUCAAGUCAUGAAAGUCGGUAACACCUGAAGCCGGUGGCCCAACCCUUGUGGAGGGA